Long non-coding RNA from Alligator sinensis (Chinese alligator), 1290 nucleotides. RefSeq lists it as uncharacterized. The record is from RefSeq and is a predicted model, not a curated record. NCBI's taxonomy places the organism in Eukaryota, Metazoa, Chordata, Crocodylia, Alligatoridae. The transcript is spliced from 3 exons.
GGAGAUGGCAAGCGCCCUGGUCGACACGGCCUUACGGCCCCCCUCACCGCCGCACCGGAGGAGCGUCACAGCUGCCAGGGCUGGACCGGACCUCGCAGAUCAUCGGCCCAGGCCCCCCGCGCCGGGGGCAGGGUGACGUGCCACAGACAAAAAGCCAACCCUGCGUCUAUGCACUUCAACCUUAUUCCGAGGGCUCAGGUUGCACCUAGGAGAUCCAGCCCCUGCCAGCAAAACGUCACCCUGAAGCCCUUCUGGAAACAACAAUGAGUGAUCUGUCUGCAGAGAUUUGUGCCCUUUCAAAGAUUCUUUGGAUGAGAGCUGAUGUGUAAAACUUCAGACUUCACCUAAUUUUCAGUCAUCCAACAUGUUGAUUGUCUUAGUCUUAAAUCUAUAAAGAUGGGUAAAAUUAUCAAGCAACUUUGACUUCCCCUACCCCUGAAUAUAAGAGCAGUAGCACAGCACCUUUGAGGCUGGCUCAACUGAAAAGUGCUGUGUAAUAUCUGGUUCUUAACAUUAUUUUUGUCAUCUUGGCAGAGAGGGCAGAACUGACCCAAACAACUUCACCCCCUGUAUCCAGGUAAUGGCCUGUGAAAGGCCCAUAAGAGGAAAAGACAAGGCAACCAGGUGAUUAAUGGAGGAGAUGAAAGGCUUUUUCAGUUUCCUGAACAGGAUGCUCAAUUACAGAUGGACACUGCACUAAACGUGAAAAGCCCUGAGGGAGUGAACACACCAUAAUUAAUCAAGGUGGACCUGCAGUGCAGGAGCUAGGGGGGUUUCUCGCAGUCACUCCUGCAACAUGAGAACAUCAGUUUGUUCCUAGACAGUGAUGCAUUCUAGUGAAUAUUGGGCCACAGAAGGGAGGUGAUAUAUGUUGAAUUUCAGCACAUUUGUGAUGAAUGCACCUAAGCCGUUUGUUCAGAGGUGGUCACAUAUGUUGUUAGCAAUAAAAGACUGGAUGACACACCAUGAUUUUGCUUUUGAUAGAGCACUACAGGGAUUUUUUUAAUUGGGUCCUACUGAAGUCCCCCUCCUUUUGCCUAGAGAAAUAAGGAGCUUCACCAAGCUGGGAGGAAAAAAAAAGCAGUCAGCGUAAAUGGGAAAAUGAGAAUUCAUUGGAAUUGCAAGAAUCAGAACAGCCCUACAGACAUGAGACAAUCCUGUUUCAUGUUUUACAUCUUCACUGACUGCCUCCCUUGCAUGCAUACCAGCCUCUGGCUUCUUUACUGUUCAUUCCAUCCAGGAGGAGCACACACCAACUGCAGAUGCUUCCUCAGACUGAAAAAGGGUAUU